This 275-nucleotide ribosomal RNA is filed under the name uncultured bacterium. RNAcentral describes it as "partial 16S ribosomal RNA". It matches the Rfam family "Bacterial small subunit ribosomal RNA", at positions 338 to 630 of the family's 1533-position model. The record is from RNAcentral.
CCUACGGGUGGCUGCAGUGGGGAAUCUUGGACAAUGGGCGCAAGCCUGAUCCAGCCAUGCCGCGUGGAUGAUGAAGGCCCUAGGGUUGUAAAAUCCUUUCGUCAGGGACGAUAAUGACGGUACCUGAAGAAGAAGCCCCGGCUAACUUCGUGCCAGCAGCCGCGGUAAUACGAAGGGGGCUAGCGUUGUUCGGAAUUACUGGGCGUAAAGCGCAUGUAGGCGGGUCGUUAAGUCGGGGGUGAAAGCCCAGAGCUCAACUCUGGAACUGCCUUCGA